CAAAUGUAUGAGUGUUCGGACAGAAGUUAUUCUUUACGUAAGAACUUUGAUAUGUGCUCACUUAGGUCUUGUAUUUUGAGCAAAGAUUCGUAGUAAGUAAAAUUUACAAAGCUUGGUCAACUAAAGUAUUAAAUUCAAUGAUUUUUUAGAAAAGUAAAGACCAUUCAGGUUGUGAAAUACCAUCCAGUACAUGGUCAUACCAUCCUAAAAAACACUGAUAAUAGGAAGCUAUAGUGUCAUAAAGUACAGAAUCCUACAGGUAAGAAAGUUAAUCAUGUCUGAGAGACAAGAAAAGAAUCAAAUAGUUAUCAGCCUCUUGCACACCAAAUUAAUGUGUUGUUUUUGUUGCACCUGAGACAAAUCUCUUUACAUAUAAACAUUGAUUUCAAACCAUAUGAGCUUUCAAUGAGACACGGUUCCUCAAGCAGUGUAAGUGCUGCGAAAUGAAAAUUCAGCGUGUCGGGAUCAAGCCAAAGGAUAAGAAAAUGCAAAAACAUAAGUCUUUCGGUAUCGAAAAACCAUGGUAGCUUCAAGUGCUACCAGAAAUAGGUUGAGCCUGUCAAAAAAAAAACAGUGGGAUAUCAUAGGUUUCCAGUAAAAGUGGCACAAAGUUCCUGAUUGCCUUGCCCAUGAAUUUGUGUUGAGGAAGCAAGCACAAACCCGUACAAAUGCAUUAUUGUUACAUGUGUUCUACCGGUAUCGCAAAAAAUUAAACCAUGUACGAUAACCCUCUUUAAAAGUUCUCAUAUUAAUCCUGGUUGUGGCCAUUUGUGGGAACAUGAUUUAGAAUAUUUAACAACAAAUGAAGUUCAUAUUUUGAUUUUUUAACAACUAAGAUUGCAGUUAUAUCUGAUCAUGCUUGAUGCUCAUAUUUGAUUCCCUACCCUGCAAUUUACCUGUAGAUAGGAAAAGAGGGUACUAUUAAUCAUUGCAAAACGGCCAUGCAAAAUUAUAUGAGAUGACUACAAAAUAUUUUUCUAUGAUCAGACCCUACGCAAGCGGGAGCUACAUGCACCGGCUGCCUUUUUUUUACUCUGGAUUAUAAGGAUAUAAAACUGGAAGGGAAACCACACGAAAAGAGAAUUUGGCUUUAAACGUUUGUAUAUAGUACUCUUCUUUGGCAUGAAAGGUACUCCAAAGAGUAGUAUGUAACAAUUAAAUGAGUAACCCUUAGAUGAAAAUGUAGUCAGAGCAGCCAUUUUAAACACUUGCAACAUGACAAAUGUGUAGUCUUAAUUUCAUGAGCGGUCUAAUUAUCUCUAGGACAGACCACAACAAAUUCAAACUAAUUCACAACUGAGAAUUAGAAGAUAACAGUAUUUGCUGCUACUAUAUAUUGGACUGAACUCAAAUAAUAAGUGCUUUUUCUUCUUUAAAUACAAUUGGUAUUUUCAUGAAUAGAUUAAAUCAGCGUUGAGAUCAUAAUGAAGCUUGUUGAGGAAAUAAAUAUUUGGACAUUACAACUACAUUUGUGUAUCCCUAAAAUACCUUGGAAAAUCAAAAUCCAAGACGUAGUAAAUCUAUCUUUUCACCCUUGAGAUCAUAAUCCACGUAUUAUCCCAUAUACAAUACACAUUUGUUGAGCACAAUUAUAACUUAGUUAGUGAGCACCCAACAAAAUUAAUUCAACAGGUAGCUCCAAACUGAAAACUAAAAGCAAAACGGAAUGCUUACAUCUUUUAGAAAACAAUUGGGUAGAAACAAUUUAGUUUUGUUAAGUUUGAUGUAAAUCUUUUUGGACUUUGUGAACCAACCAAGCUUUGGUUUUGAGGCAUUAUGUAUCUCAUUAAUCUGCAUUUAUUUUUGUAUCUGACGUAAUGUUUCCAUCAAUACCAAGGCAUCCUGUAGUGACUUGGGGUCAAUCUUAAAGCUUAGCCAAUCCAUCCUAAAGUAGAAUUUUACUUGGAAAUAAAAGAAUGGAUAAUCACAUAAGAGGUACAUGGUCAUGUAGAUAUUUGUUGCACCAACAUGACGAUAGCCUAAAAACAGAAGGACCUCCAUAAUCUAAUUACACUAAAUCACAAUCAUAUAACUGACACAUACUGAGCCAAAAAAUAAUAUUAUAAAUACUUGAUAUGCAAAUUGCAAAUAUCAAUACAAAUCAUAUUAUAAAUAUACAACAUGCAAAGAACAGUAAGGAGCUGCGGAUGGCACAUAGUAAUUUUUUUUCGAUUUACUAUUUAUUAGAUUUUAAUAUAAAAGACAGAAAAUCAGGUUACUUUCUACAUGGCCUUUUUUUUGCAAAAAAUGAUUUUGUUGUGAUAUAGAAUUCACAGUAAAUGAAGGGGAGCCUUGGCGCAGUGGUAAAGCUGCUGCCUUGUGACCAUGAGGUCACGGUUCAAGUCCUGGAAACAACCUCUUACAGAAAUGUGAGGAAAGGCUGCGUACUAUAGACCCAAAGUGGUCGGACCCUUCCCCGACCCUGCGCAAGCGGGAGCUACAUGCACGGGGCUGCCCAUAGAAUUCAUAGUAAAUGUUUUAGGAGCUUAGGGAGACACCCGUGUUAACAGACCUAGUAAACAAAUAUGCGUAUAAGGAAAGAAACAGCAAUGGCUACCACAUGGAAACAUGUGGAGAGAUAUCUAUAUAUAAGAAACAAAAAUGAGUAACGUACCAUGGCUAUUUCAUGGCCAUAACAAAAAGGAAGUGAAACAGAAGAACUUGAAUACGUACAUCAGUACUAUUAGAGUUGACGAAGGGCUGGUGCUGCUUGCUGUUUUUCUGCCGGACGAUUCGUGCUUGCGGAUGUUGAUGUUAACCUCAAUACGUCUGCAAGUUUUUCUUCAGUUUCUCUUAUUUCUUCAGUAGCUGCAUAAGCAAUCACGUGUUUCUUUGAUCUGAAUGUUUACUGUAGCCAGAAUCUUGCUGCGUUCCUGCUAUGGCCCAGACCUAAUUUUAGCUUGUUUAAUUAGCUUUUGACCCGGCACAAUCCGAACUCGUGGGAUGGCACGCGCAACUAUUGGAUUGUGGCAAAUUUCCCGUUGAUUCAGUUAAGCGAUGAAAUAAAAGGAAAGACUAAAAAUGACGCAAGUUUUGGCAUGGCAAAAGCCUCUCUCUAUGACUGAAUUUCUGUUCUCUGUUUCCUUCAACCUCAUGUGUGUGUGUUGUGUUUUUCAGAAAUAAAAUUCAGAUAAAAAGAG
Molecule: long non-coding RNA, 3140 nt
Filed under: Triticum aestivum (bread wheat)
Lineage: Eukaryota; Viridiplantae; Streptophyta; Magnoliopsida; Poales; Poaceae
Description: long non-coding RNA (TAES_LNC011554)
Source: RNAcentral